GGAACAACAGGCUGCAGUUGCUCCUGAAGAAAUACAAAGAUGGAAACAGAAAGGGGCAGUUCUGAAGGAUGGAGUGUACUCCAACAACCUCAAGUUCUGCCUCCCUAAGAAUUUGUACCCUGCAGUCGUACAAUGGGCACACGGACCUGCACAUUUAUCAAAGGAUCUAAUGAAUGCUCUUGUACCGAAAUACUACGAAGCAC
This is a non-coding RNA of Pelobates cultripes (western spadefoot toad), 203 nucleotides long. The record is from the annotation of a GenBank genome assembly. Lineage: Eukaryota; Metazoa; Chordata; Amphibia; Anura; Pelobatidae.